This 253-nucleotide ribosomal RNA is filed under the name uncultured bacterium. Its description in RNAcentral is "partial 16S ribosomal RNA". It matches the Rfam family "Bacterial small subunit ribosomal RNA", at positions 524 to 776 of the family's 1533-position model. The record is from RNAcentral.
UACGUAGGGGGCAAGCGUUGUCCGGAUUUAUUGGGCGUAAAGAGCGUGUAGGCGGUCCGGUAAGUCCGCUGUGAAAGUCGGGGGCUCAACCCUCGAAUGCCGGUGGAUACUGUCGGGCUAGAGUGCGGAAGAGGCGAGUGGAAUUCCUGGUGUAGCGGUGAAAUGCGCAGAUAUCAGGAGGAACACCGGUGGCGAAGGCGGAUCUCUGGGCCUUACCUGACGCUCAGGUGCGAAAGCUAGGGGAGCGAACAGG